AAUUAUGGACAAUAGGGGAAAACCUGAUCCAGCCAUUCCGCGGGUAUAAUGAAGGCCUUCGGGUUGUAAAGUACUUUCGGCAGAGAAGAAAAUAUAUCUCCUAAUACGAUAUACUGCUGACGGUAUCUGCAGAAUAAGCACCGGCUAACUACAUUCCAGCAGCCGCGGUAAGACGUAGGGUGAAAACUUUAAUCGGAAUCAUUGGGCGUAAAGCGUGUGUAGGCGGUUCGGAAAGAAAGCAGUGAAAACCCAGGGCUCAAGCUUGGAACUGAAUUUUUAACUGAAGAGCUAGAGUAUGUAAGAGUGGGGUAGAAUUACACGUGUAGCAGGGAAAUGCGUAGAUAUGAGGAGGAAUACCGAUGGCGAAGGCAGCCCCCUAGGAUAAUACUGACGCUCAGACACGAAAGCGUGGGGAGCAAACA
Molecule: ribosomal RNA, 422 nt
Filed under: uncultured bacterium
Lineage: Bacteria
Description: partial 16S ribosomal RNA
Rfam family: Bacterial small subunit ribosomal RNA
Source: RNAcentral